ACACGGGGGGCGCAAGCGUUAUUCGGAAUUAUUGGGCGUAAAGGGCGUGUAGGCGGUUUUAUCGGUCAGAUGUGAAAGCCCAGGGCUCAACCCUGGACGUGCAUUUGAAACAGUAAGACUUGAGUACGGUAGAGGAAAGCGGAAUUCCUGGUGUAGAGGUGAAAUUCGUAGAUAUCAGGAGGAACACCGAUGGCGAAGGCAGCUUUCUGGACCGAAACUGACGCUGAUGCGCGAAGGCGUGGGUAGCGAACAGGAUUAGAAACCCGGGUAGUCC
This 274-nucleotide ribosomal RNA is filed under the name uncultured bacterium. RNAcentral describes it as "partial 16S ribosomal RNA". It matches the Rfam family "Bacterial small subunit ribosomal RNA", at positions 523 to 796 of the family's 1533-position model. The record is from RNAcentral.